Malus domestica (apple) is the source of this 460-nucleotide non-coding RNA. NCBI's taxonomy places the organism in Eukaryota, Viridiplantae, Streptophyta, Magnoliopsida, Rosales, Rosaceae. The record is from RefSeq and is a predicted model, not a curated record.
UUGCGAAAAAACAUGGGGGUCAAAUAGAUCAGCGUCGUGAUAUUGAGCACCUAUGCGAAUUUUACCAGCGCUACACGCGACUACAUCGAGUUGGUGAUAUCCAGAUACAGGAACCAACAUGGCGGGAAUCUGGAACUUUUAGUGCUGACUUUGGCAAUUGUUUAGAAAUUAAAGAGACAAUGGCUACCUGGAGGACUUUAGUUGAGGUGAUGAAGGCUCUUAGCAAAGAUGCCGAUCCUAAUGGAGUCGGAAAACUUAUUACAGAGGAGUUGCGAAGAGUUGAAAACACCGAUGCAACAUUAUCUGGGGAGCUAACAGCCUACAAAGAUGUCCUUCUAGAAGCACCACCAUUAAUCAACGCAAUUGGAGCUUUCCCAGAAGUAGGUUUCAUCUGAAUUAUAUUUGUCUCGCCAUCUGUUCUUCAUUCCCUUCAAGAGUUCUGUUACUUUCACUCUGUAUC